This is a non-coding RNA of Erythranthe guttata (spotted monkey flower), 378 nucleotides long. The record is from RefSeq and is a predicted model, not a curated record. Lineage: Eukaryota; Viridiplantae; Streptophyta; Magnoliopsida; Lamiales; Phrymaceae.
AGCAAAACGAACGAAGAGCGGAAAAGCAACAGAAUCCAACCCAUCAAACCCUAGGGAGGAAAAAAAAAGAAGUGAUGGCAGAACUCCUGAACAAUUACGAUCUAUUAACUCACGCUGUGGAUUCCAAGAAGAAAUCUGUAAAUGGGGACACUGAAUAUCAUUACACGAACACUCGAAAGACCUUCGAAGAGUAGAAAAAUGACCACAGUAAAGCAAAUAAAAUGGUAAAGAAACUGGUACCGUUGUGUCAAAAUUUCUCUUCCGAUCUCAGCUCUGAGAAAUUAACUUUUGAAAUUUCUCCACAUGUACAUCUCUGUCCUUGGUGAAAAAACCUUGAACAAGUCACACCCUUGUAUCGCAGUUGGUUCUAUCGUUUGA